Molecule: long non-coding RNA, 375 nt
Filed under: Nicotiana tabacum (common tobacco)
Lineage: Eukaryota; Viridiplantae; Streptophyta; Magnoliopsida; Solanales; Solanaceae
Description: long non-coding RNA (NTAB_LNC005978)
Source: RNAcentral
GAUGUUGGUACUAGCACUGAUGUAAGAACACAAUAUAAUAAGCCAAGGAUGGUUGGGAUGUGAGUUUUACAUACUCAAAGUGGCUUCAAAAUUCAAAAUGUAAGUUCUAACACAACCUCUCAUAUUUAGGUGAAUUCAUUAUCUGAUUUUCUGUUGGAUUUUGGCAGCCUGGAAUAUCCUCUACAAACUUUAAGAAUGUGAGGUCUUCAACAGAAGUAACUGGAGAUCUAGGCCAUCAACCAAUACGAUAUGUUAAAUGGAAAGGUAAAGAAGCUAUGACAUCAAGGCGGUUUCAACAAUUGAGAGGCAAGUAACUCAUUCAAACAAGGUCUAGGGCUGCUAAGUUGAGCCAGAAAAGCACCACUGCAAAACAAC